CAGUCGCCGCGGUAAUACGUAGGGUGCGAGCGUUAAUCGGAAUUACUGGGCGUAAAGCGUGCGCAGGCGGUUUUGUAAGACAGAGGUGAAAUCCCCGGGCUCAACCUGGGAACUGCCUUUGUGACUGCAAGGCUAGAGUACGGCAGAGGGGGAUGGAAUUCCGCGUGUAGCAGUGAAAUGCGUAGAUAUGCGGAGGAACACCGAUGGCGAAGGCAAUCCCCUGGGCCUGUACUGACGCUCAUGCACGAAAGCGUGGGGAGCAAACAGGAUUAGAUACCCGCGUAGUCCCUGUCUCUUAUAC
RNAcentral lists this ribosomal RNA (301 nucleotides) under uncultured bacterium. Its description in RNAcentral is "partial 16S ribosomal RNA". It matches the Rfam family "Bacterial small subunit ribosomal RNA", at positions 509 to 807 of the family's 1533-position model. The record is from RNAcentral.